This 468-nucleotide ribosomal RNA is filed under the name uncultured bacterium. RNAcentral describes it as "partial 16S ribosomal RNA". It matches the Rfam family "Bacterial small subunit ribosomal RNA", at positions 28 to 507 of the family's 1533-position model. The record is from RNAcentral.
GACGAACGCUGGCGGCGUGCUUAACACAUGCAAGUCGAACGGAAAGGCCCUGCUUUUGUGGGGUGCUCGAGUGGCGAACGGGUGAGUAACCCGUGAGUAACCUGCCCUUGACUUUGGGAUAACUUCAGGCAACUGGGGCUAAUACAGGAUAGGAGCUCCUGCUGCAUGGUGGGGGUUGGAACGUUUCGGCGGUUGGGGAUGGACUCGCGGCUAACUAGCUUGUUGGUGGGGUAGUGGCUUACCAAGGCUUUGACGGGUAGCCGGCCUGAGAGGGUGGCCGGCGACAUUGGGACUGCGGUACGGCCCAGACUCCUACGGGAGGCAGCAGUGGGGAAUAUGGCCCAGUGGGCGGGAGCCUGAUGCAGCGACGCCGCGUGCGUGAUGACGGCCUUCGGGUUGUAAACCGCUUUCGCCUGUGACGAAGCGGGAGUGACGGUAAUGGGUAAAGAAGCACCGGCUAACUACGUG